Molecule: ribosomal RNA, 292 nt
Filed under: uncultured bacterium
Lineage: Bacteria
Description: partial 16S ribosomal RNA
Rfam family: Archaeal small subunit ribosomal RNA
Source: RNAcentral
GUGCCAGAGCCGCGGUCAUACCGGCAGCCCGAGUGAUGGCCGAUCUUAUUGGGCCUAAAGCGUCCGUAGCUGGGUCUGAAAGUCCAUCGGGAAAUCCACUCGCUCAACGAGUGGCCGUCCGGUGGAAACUCCACACCUUGGGACCGGAAGGCUUGAAGGGUACGGCCGGGGUAGGAGUGAAAUCCUGUAAUCCCGUCCGGACCACCGAUGGCGAAAGCACUCCGAGAAAACGGAUCCGACAGUGAGGGACGAAAGCUAAGAUCGCGAACCGGAUUAGUAACCCUGGUAGUCC